UGAGACACUGAAGAUUUUGCGCAAGCUCUACACUAGAUUACCUCUACCUGAAAAAUGCGCAGAUGACAAACCUUAUGCACCAUCCUCCCAGGUAUACCAAGAGAAAGCAAAGAGUUUAGGCAUUCACUUCACUCCUCUAGAGGUGAGCCUGAAGGAUACAGUUGAAAGCUUGAAGGGGAAGAACUUUGUCAGUUUCUGACUCAUGGUAUUUAAUGCUAGACUUGCAACUAAAUCAUAAACUAAUGGUGCUUUCCUGCUAAUUUUAUUGUUAUGAACCUCACUGCACCUAUGAUUUGCUAGGUUUUGGGGCUUUUAUCUUAUAAUAUUUGAUUGUAAGCAUUUCUUAUGCUAGAAAUUGGUAUCUGUAUCAACUAUAAGUUUCCCUGUUCAAGUUU
Vitis vinifera (wine grape) is the source of this 395-nucleotide long non-coding RNA. RefSeq lists it as uncharacterized. NCBI's taxonomy places the organism in Eukaryota, Viridiplantae, Streptophyta, Magnoliopsida, Vitales, Vitaceae. The transcript has 2 exons. The record is from RefSeq and is a predicted model, not a curated record.